RNAcentral lists this ribosomal RNA (191 nucleotides) under uncultured Paraglomus. Its description in RNAcentral is "partial 18S ribosomal RNA". It matches the Rfam family "Eukaryotic small subunit ribosomal RNA", at positions 1644 to 1831 of the family's 1831-position model. Lineage: Eukaryota; Fungi; Glomeromycota; Glomeromycetes; Paraglomerales; Paraglomeraceae. The record is from RNAcentral.
AUUACGUCCCUGCCCUUUGUACACACCGCUCGUCGCUACUACCGAUUGAAUGGCUUAGUGAGACUUUCGGAUGUGUUUGGAGCCGCUGGCAACAGUGACACCUUGCGCAGAAGUUAUUCAAACUUGGUCAUUUAGAGGAAGUAAAAGGUCGUAACAAGGUUUCCGUAGGUGAACCUGCGGAAGGAUCAUUA